Molecule: ribosomal RNA, 769 nt
Filed under: uncultured archaeon
Lineage: Archaea
Description: bacterial SSU rRNA
Rfam family: Archaeal small subunit ribosomal RNA
Source: RNAcentral
CUGCAUCGAUUAGCAUGCGAGUCGCGAGAUUAGAUUCUCGGCGUACCGCUCAGUAACACGUGGGUAACCUGCCCUAUGCUGGAUAAUAACCUCGGGAAACUGAGAAUAAUGAUCCAUAGUUCACUACGCCUGGAACGGUGAGUGGACGAAAGCUCCGGCGGCAUAGGAUGGGCCUGCGGCGUAUCAGGUUGUAGGGGGUGUAAUGUAUCCUCUAGCCCUCUACGCGUACGGGUGUUGAGAGACAUCGCCCGGAGAUGGAUUCUGAGACACGAAUCCAGACCCUACGGGGUGCAGCAGGCGCGAAAACUUGGCAAUGCGAGAAAUCGUGACCAGGGAACUCCAAGUGCAUCGGGUAAGACCGAUGCUUUUCUAGACUCUAAAAAGGUCUUGGAAUAAGAGGUGGGUAAGGACGGUGCCAGCCGCCGCGGUAAUACCGGCGCCUCAAGUGGUAGUCGCUUUUAUUGGGCCUAAAACGUCCGUAGCCGGUCUGAUACAUUCGUGGGUAAAUCAACCAGCUUAACUGGUUGAAUUCUGCGAGGACGGUCAGACUUGGGACCGGGAGAGGUGUGGGGUACGCUCAGGGUAGGGGUAAAAUCCUGUCAUCCUGAGCGGACCACCUGUUGCGAAAGCGCCACACUAGAACGGAUCCGACGGUCAGGACGAGCCUACGGGCACGAACCGGGAUUAGAUACCCCGGGUAGUCUAGUGUAACGCUGUGGACCUGAUGUGGGGGUGCUCCGAGCACCUCCUCAGUGUUCGAAGGCGACGU